UUAACAUUUACAUAGCCAUAGGACAAUUAUCAAAACAAAGAAAUUAACGUUGGUGGGAUGCCUGGAUGGCUCAGUCAGGUAAGCGUCCUACUAUUGGUUUCAGCUCAGGUUUUGAUGUCACAGUUAAUGAGUUCUAUCCUCACAUCAGGCUCUGCACUGAUGGUGUAGAGCCUGCUUGAAAUUGUCUGUCUUGUCUCUGACCCUCCCCUGCCAUGCAUGCUUUCUCUCUCUCUCUCUCUCUCUGUCUC
Long non-coding RNA from Neofelis nebulosa (Clouded leopard), 248 nucleotides. RefSeq lists it as uncharacterized. NCBI's taxonomy places the organism in Eukaryota, Metazoa, Chordata, Mammalia, Carnivora, Felidae. The record is from RefSeq and is a predicted model, not a curated record. The transcript is spliced from 2 exons.